RNAcentral lists this long non-coding RNA (224 nucleotides) under Elaeis guineensis (African oil palm). RNAcentral's name for it is "long non-coding RNA (EGUI_LNC054918)". Lineage: Eukaryota; Viridiplantae; Streptophyta; Magnoliopsida; Arecales; Arecaceae. The record is from RNAcentral.
CCUGGCCAAGGUUUUGCUAAAUUGAAAUAUGACUGUACACAGCUCUUGAACUGGAGUGGUCAAUCUCAUCUUGACACACGCACCGACAAGUCAAGUACUUGACUACACCCAGCAGCCUUCCGUCACUGAAUUAAAAAUUCAGGUAGUCCAGUGCCUAAGUGCAAUGAGUUGCUUGGAAGUCACCGUGGCGGUCUCAGGUCGGAGGGAUAUUUAUACCCAUAUUC